RNAcentral lists this unclassified non-coding RNA (353 nucleotides) under soil metagenome. Its description in RNAcentral is "partial contains 5.8S ribosomal RNA, internal transcribed spacer 2, and large subunit ribosomal RNA". The stretch from base 1 to 120 matches the Rfam family "5.8S ribosomal RNA", at positions 35 to 154 of the family's 154-position model. The record is from RNAcentral.
GAUGAAGAACGUAGCGAAAUGCGAUAAGUAGUGUGAAUUGCAGAAUUCAGUGAAUCAUCGAAUCUUUGAACGCACAUUGCGCCCCUUGGUAUUCCAUGGGGCAUGCCUGUUCGAGCGUCAUUACAACCCUCAGGCCCCCGGGCCUGGCGUUGGGGAUCGGCGGAAGCCCCCUGCGGGCACAACGCCGUCCCCCAAAUACAGUGGCGGUCCCGCCGCAGCUUCCAUUGCGUAGUAGCUAACACCUCGCAACUGGAGAGCGGCGCGGCCACGCCGUAAAACACCCAACUUCUGAAUGUUGACCUCGAAUCAGGUAGGAAUACCCGCUGAACUUAAGCAUAUCAAUAAGCGGAGGA